UAGUCCACGCUGUAAACGAUGAGAACUAGCUGUUGGGUAUUAAUAUUUAGUGGCGCAGUUAACGCGAUAAGUUCUCCGCCUGGGGAGUACGGCCGCAAGGUUAAAACUCAAAUGAAUUGACGGGGGCCCGCACAAGCGGUGGAGCAUGUGGUUUAAUUCGAUGCAACGCGAAGAACCUUACCUACCCUUAACAUCCUGCGAAUCCUGUAGAGAUACGGGAGUGCCUUCGGGAAUGCAGAGACAGGUGCUGCAUGGCUGUCGUCAGCUCGUGUUGUGAAAUGUUGGGUUAAGUCCCGUAACGAGCGCAACCCUUGUCCAUAGUUGCCAGCGGGUAAAGCCGGGAACUUUAAGGAGACUGCCGGUGUUAAACCGGAGGAAGGCGGGGAUGACGUCAAGUCAUCAUGGUCCUUACGCCCAGGGCGACAAACGUGCUACAAUGGCCGGAACAAAGGGAAGCAAGAUCGCGAGGUUGAGCAAAUCCCAAAAAUCCGGUCUCAGUUCGGAUUGGAGGCUGCAAUUCGCCUCC
This 526-nucleotide ribosomal RNA is filed under the name uncultured bacterium. RNAcentral's name for it is "bacterial SSU rRNA". It matches the Rfam family "Bacterial small subunit ribosomal RNA", at positions 791 to 1319 of the family's 1533-position model. The record is from RNAcentral.